Molecule: ribosomal RNA, 254 nt
Filed under: uncultured bacterium
Lineage: Bacteria
Description: partial 16S ribosomal RNA
Rfam family: Bacterial small subunit ribosomal RNA
Source: RNAcentral
GACGUAGGGCGCGAGCGUUGUCCGGAUUUAUUGGGCGUAAAGAGCUCGUAGGCGGUGUGUCGCGUCGGCCGUGAAAACCUGGGGCUUAACUCUGGGCGUGCGGUCGAUACGGGCAUCACUAGAGUUCGGCAGGGGAGACUGGAAUUCCUGGUGUAGCGGUGAAAUGCGCAGAUAUCAGGAGGAACACCGGUGGCGAAGGCGGGUCUCUGGGCAACAACUGACGCUGAGGAGCGAAAGCGUGGGGAGCGAACAGG